CAGGGAGUAGUUUAAUUAAAAUUUUAAUUUUGGAGAUUAAAGAUGAGGAUUCCUUCUCCCUGA
Molecule: transfer RNA, 63 nt
Filed under: Eboraphyllus middletoni
Lineage: Eukaryota; Metazoa; Arthropoda; Insecta; Coleoptera; Cerambycidae
Description: tRNA-Pro
Source: RNAcentral